Molecule: long non-coding RNA, 2610 nt
Filed under: Mus musculus (house mouse)
Lineage: Eukaryota; Metazoa; Chordata; Mammalia; Rodentia; Muridae
Description: long non-coding RNA chr16:40785998-40788608
Source: RNAcentral
AGUCUUGGCAUUUUGGAACCAGCCUCCUGCUGAAGUAAAUUUGUCUCCAAUCACAAUCCCAGGUGGGUCACCUUACUCAUAGAAGAACAUUUAAGGGUAACUCACAUGGACAGAGUAAUGCCUACUUGCAUGGAAACUUAUCACUCUCCCUAAACAAUGUUGUCGUUGUCCACACAAUGACCAUGACCUUUAGCCCCUUAUCAGUUACUCCUGUUUCCCCAAAGCUGAAGGCCAGCUGUAGCAUCCAUCAGAGCCAUGCCUUUUCACUACUCUCAAGAUUGGUUUCUUCUCCAGUUCUCAUUUUUCCCUUCUAUAUUUGCUCCCUUUCACUUCUAGUCCUCCCAGUUUUGAUAACUUGAACUCUCUGGAAUAUUAAGAUAUCCAAUCUCCCAACUGCCCAGUGCUAUUGCCACUAACCUCUGCAGACAUUGGGGCUUCUGAACCAAAUGAGGAAUAUAAUUUUAAUAGUUCCAAAACAAUUUAGAUAUCCUAGUAAAAUAGUUGGCUUAUGACUUUAAUACUGCACAGCAUUGUGUAGCCUCUUGAAAAUGAUAACAAAGUUCUAGAUUUCAAGACUGGACGAGAAUGCAAAGCUUUCCAGUAAUGUGAAUGUGCCCCUGUGCAUGCAUGAGCUUUUAUUCUCUUAACUUUUGUGAUCAUUCUAAAUCAUUCAGGGUAAUAUGUCAUUAAAUCUCACCCUUGAUAGUCAGCCAUUAUACUUGCAGAGGACUGGAGAAGAUAAAAUGUGACAUUAUUUUAAGCUUUACUGUUCUUCAAAUAGCUCACAUGUAGGUACUGGGAAGUACAAUUAUACUUCCCAUCAAAAUGAUGUGCUUCGAACAGGAGCAAUCAUUUCUGAUGUGAAUUUUUCAUAGGAAUUUUCAAUAAGUUUGAGAUAACUAUACUCUCUCUAUGUUUCAAUCUGCUAUUACCAAUAUUUAAAAUGAAUUAGUGUCAAUACUGUUGCCGUUGUUGUUUACAUAUAAAUCGAUCUAUGCAUACUGAAGAGGACUUAGUUGUUCCUUGAUUGUCUCUCUGUAGCACUGAAAUAAAUCAUCCCAUUCAAUCUGAUUAGUGGAAAGCAACAAAUUUCUUGUUUAUAGUUGAUGAUAACAGCAGUAGUAAGUAUCAUUUAUUGAGUGUCUAUUAUAACCUGGCACUGUCGUGAGUGUUCAGGAUUCAGUAUGCUAGUUAACUUACAUCACAACAAGCACUAGGCAGAAGUAUAGAUUUCAUGUUUUGUUUAGAAAUAAAUGAGACAAAGAGAGUAACUUCCAAAAGUUUAGUCUAAGUUUGUAUUCAAUGCAUACAGUCUAACCACAAAGAUGGGCUUCUUAACAGCUGUAUAGUCCACCUCCUGCAUAAGGAAAAAAACCCAGCACAUCAGAUUAUUAAAAUGUAUAGUUUUCACUAACAAUGCCCUUUGGCAGAAAAAAAAAAUAUAGGAUGACAGGGUCCGUUAGUUCUUCUAUUUACAGCCUAAAACAAUCAGGGCUUAUGUUCUAAGGUAAAAUAGAACAUCUGGUAACUAAAACAAUAAGAUGCUAAAAGCAAAAGAAAUGAACAAAACAUAAAAUGAGAAAAGCCAGUUUCUCCUUAUUGUAAUCAUUCUAACUUCCAUGCAAGAUUUUAAAAGUUUAUGUUGUGAGACAAGUCACAUGUUUCUGUUUUUGUGAUUUUCCUGGAUUUAAUACACCACACUGCUGUCCUUUAGCAUGUUUUGUACUGUAAAUAUUCUAUUGAUUCUGAAAAUCGUCCUGAGUAAAUGACAUGAACCCCUUGUCUGACUCUCUCCUAUCCCUUUUAUUGGGAACCCCCUUCCAGGUCCAUUUUCCAUAAUCUACUGAGAACUUUGUCUCUUACUGCAAUCUCAGAGGCCACAUUUCUUCAAAUUGGCAGAUGGGUGUUCAGUCAACUUAAUUUCCUUCUCUGCCCACUGUUCAUGCCACAUAUUCAGGAAUAGACUUUGAAAGGGAGUUGCCCACAAAGAGCGUGUUGUAGGAAACCUUGGAUGCAGAGAUGAGACUAGCAGCAAUAAGGGAUAAGAACAUCAGCUCGUCCCUUAUUUUCUAAGACAGAAAAAUAUUUCAAUCGAUCCAAAAUGGUAUUCCAACUGUUUUAUAUCAGGACAUACUCUAUGAUAUAGAUGCUUGCUAUAACAUUAAAAGGUAACUGCCUAUUUGAACAGCUUGAUUUAUUAAUUUUUUUCCCAAGAUUUUUUCAACUUAAAGCAAAUCUAAUGUUGUUCUUUAAGGCAAAGAUAGGGCUAAUAUAUUUCUUUAGAUGGCAAUUCAUCAAAUAUUUACAAUUCUUACCUGUCCUCCAAAUAUUCACAAUUCUUACAGUUGACAAUGCUGUUUCUUUAGCCUUACCAAGUAUACCUAUUCCCUUAACACUAAUGUCUAUGUUUCCAUUAUAUCCACUAAUACUACUAACAUGCCUAAGCCUUAGUUAAAAAGUCAUUUUUUGAGCUGGGUGUGGUGGCACACGCCUUUAAUCCCAGCACUCGGGAGGCAGAGGCAGGCAGAUUUCUGAGUUUGAGGCCAGCCUUGUCUACAAAGUGAGUUCCGUUCCAGGACAGCCAGGGCUAUGCAGAGAAACCCUGUCUUG